RNAcentral lists this ribosomal RNA (700 nucleotides) under uncultured Chlorophyta. RNAcentral's name for it is "bacterial SSU rRNA". It matches the Rfam family "Bacterial small subunit ribosomal RNA", at positions 42 to 768 of the family's 1533-position model. The record is from RNAcentral. Lineage: Eukaryota; Viridiplantae; Chlorophyta.
UCAGGCCUAACACAUGCAAGUCGGACGAACUUAGAAUUUUUAUAGGAUUUUAAGUUAAGUAGCGGACGGGUGAGUAAAAUGUAAGAGACCUACCUUUAGGAGGGGGAUAACGACUGGAAACGGUGGCUAAAACCCCAUAAGCUGCGGAGUAAAAAGUUGACACUGCCUAAAGAUGGGCUUGCAUCUGAUUAGCUUGUUGGUGGGUUAAUUGAUCACCAAGGCGACGAUCAGUAGUUGGUCUAAGAGGAUGAUCAACCACACUGGGACUGAGACACGGCCCAGACCUUUACGGAGGGCAGCAGUGAGGAAUUUUCCGCAAUGGGCGAAAGCCUGACGGAGCAAUACCGCGUGGAUGAUGAAGGCUUUUGAGUCGUAAAAUCCUUUUCUUAGUGAGGAAAAUAGACAGUAACAAAGGAAUAAGCAUCGGCUAAUUCCGUGCCAGCAGCCGCGGUAAUACGGGAGAUGCAAGCGUUAUUCGGAAUUAUUGGGCGUAAAGCGUCUGUAGGUGGCUUUUUAAGUCUAUUGUUAAAUAUCAAGGCUUAACCUUGAAAAAGCGAUAUGAAACUAAAGAGCUUGAGUUUAGUAGGGGUAAAGGGAAUUCCCGGUGUAGUGGUGAAAUGCGUAGAUAUCGGGAAGAACACCUGUAGCGAAAGCGCUUUACUGGGCUAAAACUGACACUGAGAGACGAAAGCUAGGGGAG